Non-coding RNA from Callithrix jacchus (white-tufted-ear marmoset), 302 nucleotides. Lineage: Eukaryota; Metazoa; Chordata; Mammalia; Primates; Cebidae. The record is from Rfam.
GCUGGGUGUGGUGGGGCAUGCCUAUAGUUCCAGCUACUUAGGAGGCUGAGGUGGGAGGAUCACUUGAGCUGGGGAGUUCUAGGCUAUAAUGUGCUAUGCUAGUGAGGUGCUUGCAUCAAAGUUCAGCAUCCAUAUGGUGACCUCCUGGGAGUGGGGGACCACAUGGUUGCCUAAGGAGGGAAUAAACUGGCCCAGGUUAGAAAUAGAACCAGUCAAAACUCCUGUGUUGAUCAGUAGUGGGAACAGACCUGUCAAUAGCCACUGCACACCAGCCUGGACAAUACAACAAGACCCUCAUCUCU